UUUUAUUUGAGAGUUUGAUCCUGGCUCAGGAUGAACGCUGGCGGCGUGCCUAACACAUGCAAGUUGAGCGAUUUACUUCGGUAAAGAGCGGCGGACGGGUGAGUAACGCGUGGGUAACCUACCCUGUACACACGGAUAACAUACCGAAAGGUAUGCUAAUACGGGAUAAUAUAUUUGAGAGGCAUCUCUUGAAUAUCAAAGGUGAGCCAGUACAGGAUGGACCCGCGUCUGAUUAGCUAGUUGGUAAGGUAACGGCUUACCAAGGCGACGAUCAGUAGCCGACCUGAGAGGGUGAUCGGCCACAUUGGAACUGAGACACGGUCCAAACUCCUACGGGAGGCAGCAGUGGGGAAUAUUGCACAAUGGGCGAA
This 371-nucleotide ribosomal RNA is filed under the name Clostridioides difficile. Its description in RNAcentral is "bacterial SSU rRNA". It matches the Rfam family "Bacterial small subunit ribosomal RNA", at positions 1 to 379 of the family's 1533-position model. Lineage: Bacteria; Bacillati; Bacillota; Clostridia; Peptostreptococcales; Peptostreptococcaceae. The record is from RNAcentral.